UACGUAGGGUGCAAGCGUUGUCCGGAAUUAUUGGGCGUAAAGAGCUCGUAGGCGGUUUGUCGCGUCGAAUGUGAAAACCCGGGGCUCAACCCCGGGCCUGCAUUCGAUACGGGCAGACUAGAGUUCGGUAGGGGAGUCUGGAAUUCCUGGUGUAGCGGUGAAAUGCGCAGAUAUCAGGAGGAACACCGGUGGCGAAGGCGGGACUCUGGGCCGAUACUGACGCUGAGGAGCGAAAGCGUGGGGAGCAAACAGG
RNAcentral lists this ribosomal RNA (253 nucleotides) under uncultured bacterium. Its description in RNAcentral is "partial 16S ribosomal RNA". It matches the Rfam family "Bacterial small subunit ribosomal RNA", at positions 524 to 776 of the family's 1533-position model. The record is from RNAcentral. RNAcentral also lists the same sequence under 2 other names.